AACGUAGGACACAAGCGUUAUCCGGAGUUACUGGGCGUAAAGGGCGUUUAGGCGGGUGAUUAAGUUCGCUAUGAAAGCGCCGGGCUAAACUCGGCGAGGCUGGCGGAUACUGGUCAUCUGGAGUGAGUCAGAGGAAGGUAGAAUUCCGCGUGUAGUGGUGAAAUGCGUAGAGAUGCGGAGGAAUACCAGUGGCGAAGGCGGCCUUCUGGGACUCAACUGACGCUCAUGCACGAAAGCGUGGGGAGCAAACAGG
RNAcentral lists this ribosomal RNA (253 nucleotides) under uncultured bacterium. RNAcentral describes it as "partial 16S ribosomal RNA". It matches the Rfam family "Bacterial small subunit ribosomal RNA", at positions 524 to 776 of the family's 1533-position model. The record is from RNAcentral.